This is a non-coding RNA of Triticum aestivum (bread wheat), 201 nucleotides long. The record is from Rfam. NCBI's taxonomy places the organism in Eukaryota, Viridiplantae, Streptophyta, Magnoliopsida, Poales, Poaceae.
AGGUUUUGUCCUAAGUCAAACUUCUAUAAGUUUGACCAACUUUGUAGAAAGAUAUGCUAAUAUCUACAGCAUCAAAUAUAUAUAGUAUGAAAACAUGUGUUAUGAUGAAUCUGGUGAAACUAAUUUGAUGUUGUAGAUGUUGGUAUAUUUUUCUAUAAAUUUGGUCAAACUUUAAAGAAGUUUGACUUAGGGCAAACCUAG